GAAAAAUCCACUGCAAAAUAUGUCUCUAAUAACAGAGGAGAUUAGAGCAAGUGCAACUGAAUUCUACACUGGAAAUGAUAUCUGUCAAGAGAAAUCAAAGUUCUUGUUAACAGAAAUGAACCUCCCAAAUGGGCUUCUCCCUAUGCAAGACAUGUUAGAAUGUGGCUAUGUUAAAGACACUGGCUUUGUUUGGCUCAAAUCAAAGAAAAAAACAGAGCACAAAUUUGAAAAAAUUGAUAGAUCAGUCCAAUAUGCAACUGAAGUGACAGCUUAUGUUGAGCCCAAUAAGAUCAAGAAACUUACUGGGGUUAAAGCUAAAGAGCUUCUAAUGUGGCUAACGCUCAAUGAAAUUUGUGUUGAUGAGCCAUCCACUGGGAAAAUCCAUUUCAAGUCUCCAACUGGUCUUGCUAGGACUUUCCCUGUUUCAGCCUUUGAACUUGAUGUCCCCAAAAAGGAAGUCAAAGAAGAAGCCAAUGAAGUGAGUGUUGCUACAGUUGAAGUGAAAGAGGUGUAAGAAAU
This 519-nucleotide unclassified non-coding RNA is filed under the name Hevea brasiliensis (rubber tree). Lineage: Eukaryota; Viridiplantae; Streptophyta; Magnoliopsida; Malpighiales; Euphorbiaceae. The record is from RNAcentral.